GAUGAAGAACGUAGCGAAAUGCGAUAAGUAAUGUGAAUUGCAGAAUUCAGUGAAUCAUCGAAUCUUUGAACGCAUCUUGCGCUCUUUGGUAUUCCGAAGAGCAUGCCUGUUUGAGUGUCAUGAAAAUAUCAACCUUGACUUGGGUUUUGUGCUCUAGUCUCGGCUUGGAAUUGGGUGCUUGCCGCUUUUACGAGCGGCUCACCUUAAAUGUAUUAGCUGGAUCUGUCUUUGAGACUUGGUUUGACUUGGCGUAAUAAGUAUUUCGCUAAGGACAUUCUUCGGAGUGGCCUCGUUUCUAGGACGCUUGUCCGCUUUCCAAUACAAGUUCCACCUCGUGGACAUGACUUUUUAUUAUCUGGCCUCAAAUCAGGUAGGACUACCCGCUGAACUUAAGCAUAUCAAUAAGCGGAGGA
Molecule: unclassified non-coding RNA, 413 nt
Filed under: soil metagenome
Description: partial contains 5.8S ribosomal RNA, internal transcribed spacer 2, and large subunit ribosomal RNA
Rfam family: 5.8S ribosomal RNA (bases 1-120)
Source: RNAcentral